This 68-nucleotide ribosomal RNA is filed under the name uncultured eukaryote. RNAcentral describes it as "partial small subunit ribosomal RNA". The record is from RNAcentral.
GAAGGCRAAACYCCUGAUUGGGACUAAGUCGUAACAAGGUAACCGUAGGUGAACCUGCAGAAGGAUCA